GACGAACGCUGGCGGCGUGCCUAAUACAUGCAAGUAGAACGCUGAAGCUUGGUGCUUGCACCGAGCGGAUGAGUUGCGAACGGGUGAGUAACGCGUAGGUAACCUGCCUGGUAGCGGGGGAUAACUAUUGGAAACGAUAGCUAAUACCGCAUAAGAGUAGAUGUUGCAUGACAUUUGCUUAAAAGGUGCAAUUGCAUCACUACCAGAUGGACCUGCGUUGUAUUAGCUAGUUGGUGAGGUAACGGCUCACCAAGGCAACGAUACAUAGCCGACCUGAGAGGGUGAUCGGCCACACUGGGACGGAGACACGGCCCAGACUCCUACGGGAGGCAGCAGUAGGGAAUCUUCGGCAAUGGACGGAAGUCUGACCGAGCAACGCCGCGUGAGUGAAGAAGGUUUUCGGAUCGUAAAGCUCUGUUGUAAGAGAAGAACGAGUGUGAGAGUGGAAAGUUCACACUGUGACGGUAUCUUACCAGAAAGGGACGGCUAACUACGUG
Molecule: ribosomal RNA, 497 nt
Filed under: uncultured bacterium
Lineage: Bacteria
Description: partial 16S ribosomal RNA
Rfam family: Bacterial small subunit ribosomal RNA
Source: RNAcentral